GGCUCCUAAGCAACCUUGGCUUGUCUGCCAUGUCCACCAUAUUGCUGUCAUGAGUUCUUGACCCGGGAACUCUGACUCCCUUGAGAUAGAAAAUCUGUUCCCUUGUUGAUUGGGAUGCAGGUCCAUUGGUUCAAUGACAUCAGUGCCAAGAUCUCAGUGGCCUUCUUGGCCUUUCUUCAUGACCAGAGGAUGCUGCUCUAACUUCACCCAUCUCAACCAAGCACAGUGCUUGAAAUCGCCCAACCUCCUGUCGCUUUGUUGAAGAAGUCUCCCCAGAUUCUCCAAUCAGACGUCCACAGGGAGAGACCAAGGCCGGGCUCAUCUCUCUCCUGAGCAUCCAGUGUCUUUUCCAAGCGCUCUUGCCAUCCUCUUCCUUGGGUCAAGCCCCCUACUGGACUCUCAGCUCUCAGAGAGUGGGGACCAAGUCUAGCUCAGCUCGGCGUCUUCUUGGCACCUAGCCCAUGGCCUGGCCCAUUGCGGGCCCUUGCUCUUUAAACAGGAGCCUCUUGUUGGAGCUCCUGAAAGGAAUCCACAGACCCAGAGGGAUUCUGGAUACUUUCUCUCUCCUAGUGUUGUGAGGCAACUUGCAAAGAUCCAUCAAAUACAAGAGAAGAAAAGAGAGAAAGGAAUCAGAGCAGAGCUGGCUGGCAGAAUAACGUGCCCAAAUCUGUAUCAACAGGCGAGAAUUCUGUCUCUAAGCUUCUCAGGAGUCAAAGCAAAGAGAUAUGAGUCCCAGCAUCCCAAAGGUCUGACCUCUCUCUGGUGACUCGCGGCUGAGAAGGAAACGAUCCCCUGCACUGAGUGAACGGCCUUGCGAACCGAGUACACAGAGUGGCACUGAGUGGCACUGAGUACCCACGGCCUUGGAAUUCUCUCUCCCAGUUAGCGCGUUGCCAUUGCGGGAGUGUCUUCUAGAAACAAAACUUCAUCCACAGACAUAAUGUUUUUGCAAGUUCGAGUCAGAUUUGAAGCGGCUUGACAAAUAUCACUUAAGGAAAGAAAAUACUCCAUCCGUGGACCUCUAAGGACAGAGAAAUUUUUCAAAGCAGAUCCUAACUCUGCGGUGGAUUUUACUAGGCUUUUUUCCAAACUAGCCUACUAAAUCAGUGUUAUUAUUUUUUGGUGAAAAAAGG
This 1133-nucleotide long non-coding RNA is filed under the name Equus caballus (horse). RNAcentral's name for it is "lncRNA (ENSECAG00000038542.2)". Lineage: Eukaryota; Metazoa; Chordata; Mammalia; Perissodactyla; Equidae. The record is from RNAcentral.